AGAAAAACACAGCCGCUCUUUGAGAAAAGUUAAUGCUUCUUAGUUCAGUUUGAUGCCGAUAAAUCAGUAUUUAUUUUACUUAAUUACGUAUAUUGCUGGGGAUUGAAAUCAUAAUCGUCAUUUUUCUCUUUACAAACAUCCUUGGACGCUGUUCAAGUCAAAAACGAUGGCAUAAUGUGAAAUAAUUCAAGAGAGACAACUCCAUCAUGUCAACUUCAGAGUGGCCCGAAGUGGUGGGACUUCCCUGGAAAGAAGCUGAGAAGCGUAUAAGAUCCGAGUACCCUAAUAUUUCAAUCCAGGUUCUGCCGGAAGGGAGUUGUGUGACGAUGGACUACCGGACAGACCGGGUCAGGCUAUUUACAGACGGGGACGGAAAAGUAGUGCAUAUUCCCACGAUUGGAUAAAUCUGUUGUGGGUCAUCACUGAAAAUAUUAUAAAAUAUUUAAAAAAAAAAACCCUAAGACAAGAUUAUAUUGCAAUCGUGUUCAAAAUACACACAAGAAAUCGUGUUAAAAUUUGGAAAAAAAUGACGUUAAAUUUUUAUAUAUGCUAGAUCUAUUAAAAAUUGGACUAGAUUUCAAUUAUGAUAAUAUAAUGUAUCAAAGUUAGUUGACGUCGAAAAAAAUUAGCUGCAGAACUUUAGCCUUAUGAUUUUAUAUUUUAGUCUUCAGCCAUAAAGCUACAGAUCCUGUAACGCAAAUAUGGUGCAAUUUACGGCGCAAGAUUUUCUGCGCACUUUGGGGAUUAUUUCGCCACUUUCCAGCAUUGGUCAAUCAACUACCUUUCAUUUCCUAAUUCUAGACAUAUUCUAUAACAAAUCUGUAUAUUCUAUCCACCUCCUAACCGUUAGUCGUCUCUACAGACCAAUAAACUCGCUUGUGAA
This is a long non-coding RNA of Saccostrea echinata, 883 nucleotides long. RefSeq lists it as uncharacterized. The record is from RefSeq and is a predicted model, not a curated record. The transcript is spliced from 3 exons. NCBI's taxonomy places the organism in Eukaryota, Metazoa, Mollusca, Bivalvia, Ostreida, Ostreidae.